CUCUGUCUUAUACCUUUAAUUGAAGCAGCCGUAGGGACAUAUAUUCCCUGCUGGAAGCUUUGUCCCUCUCCCUCUCUCUCCCUCCCUUCCUGACCUCUUCCCAUGGGAAUUUCGUGUGAAGGUGACACGGGUGAGAAAGAAUGUCAAGUCCCUUGGACGAGCGAAGAGAGGGGUAGCACAGAUAGUAGUGCUGGGAUUCAGAUGGAAUUCUGGCCGCUUGAACACCCGACAGAGCCAUCAGAUGAAGAUCAGCCGGUGAAAUGCCCCAUAUCCAAUUCUUCCGCUAUCAAUGUCGCCGAGAUGUCCAAGGACCGUUCAACUGAGACCGCAAGGAAGCGAGCGGAAUUCACAGUGACGACAAGGGACAGAGAGAUGAUCACCAUAGCAGAUGCAGGAACCCUUGCUGCGCGAUCAGAUCGAAAGAGGCAUCACACUCUGACCCAUGGUGACAUUGUCAUAACACCAAUCAUGAGGCCUACGCCGUCACCGCCACCGAAUUCAGCCUGCGAACUCACCUCACUCCAGAUGCUUCACCAGACGGACAGUUUCGAGCCCUCCCGUUCAUCGGCUUAGAUAUACAUAAUUAUUUUCACCCCAUACAUGCUUGCUCCAAUUCUGAUUUUCGUCACAGCCGAUAUGCGUGGAGGAGACCUCCCGAACUCUCAGAAUAUUGAAUGAGUCCCUCCUGACACUCCACUGACAACUAAUUUAGAAGACGCGCCUACGAGCAUAGGGGAAGCGAGGUCUUUAUGCUAUUGCUGACAAGAUGUCUACUUGUUUUCAAUUAUGUGGCAAUCAAAUCGGAUUGUUUUCAGAUAUGCAUGUAAAAUAAAUUAGUAAUACUGUGCCGUAGUAUUUCUUGAUGAAGAUCGAUGUAGA
Punica granatum (pomegranate) is the source of this 879-nucleotide non-coding RNA. NCBI's taxonomy places the organism in Eukaryota, Viridiplantae, Streptophyta, Magnoliopsida, Myrtales, Lythraceae. The record is from RefSeq and is a predicted model, not a curated record.